GACACCGAACUGGGCUCCAGUGUCACCCUGCCACAGACACUGCACUGGGGCACUGCUGUCACCGGCACUGAACCUGGGCACCAGCGUCACCCUGUCACCGACACCAGAUCUGGGUGCCAGUGUCACCUGUCACAGACACUGAAUCUGUCACAGACAAGAAACAGAAUUUUUGUUCACAAAAGGCACGGGUCUACAGACGCGAUUGGCUGGGCAGGAGCUGUGUCCUAACGAUUAUCCCAGGAUCCUGCAGAUGCUGGAACACAGCGUCAGCCCCUCAGAGCAACCCCCUACAACAAAGGUUAAGUCUAAGGGCGCGUUCCUUACGGGUGAAACGCAGCGAGAGGCUGCACGAGCAAAUGAGCUUGUAGCUGCUUCUGUCUACUGAAGAUUAUAUUGCACACUGACCUCAGGCAGUUCUAAUGCGUACAAGAGCUAAUGAGAUUGCUCUGCAUUCAGGCAGUCCAGGGCAGUAGCAGCUGAUGCAGCAAUCUGAGCGUACACCUGGACCAGCACAGCUGGACUGAGGAAGCCACGGUCUGUACUUCCAGGUAUCAGCUCUGUGGAAGAACCUUGCAAAUCUCAAAGAGAGCCAGGGAGCAAAAAAAUGCUCUUGUGUAGAGGAUAUCCUGUGACCAAGGAGACAAAGAAAGUUUGCACAUUCCAUGCUUGUGCACUGUCACUGUGCACCUCUGAGAACUGUCUGGCUACACCCACCAUGACGGAGCUGAAAACAGCAACAAAGGUGAUUCCAGAGGAAAAAAAGCAAUCUUCACUGACUGGAAUUUGUAGCUAAUGAAACUUUAGAACUUUGUUUUGCAAUUUAAGUUAUUCUGAUAAAACAAAACCAUCAGCAAUACACUCUGCAUAUUCUUGACAGUGACUGCAGUGAGACUUCUUUUCCUUUUACCCUUACCCAUUUUUAGAAAUCCCUCAUGCUCCAUUCCUGUUUAAGAAUCUCUUUUUUUGGCCAAUGGAGAAUAAAUAAAAAGCAAACUAUACAAACAAUUGCAGUGGGGUGCUACAGAGAACAAAGUGGUGGCCUGUGCAAGUAUAAUUUAUAAAUAUAUUCUGUUCUUCAUAUGUACAGCUAGCCAAAAAGCAACAUGUGGAAAGAGUUUCCAUGUUUCCAAAAGUACUUCUCCAAUGUCAGUCAGGAAUGGAAAUGUACUUUACAGUUGUGAUACCCCAUCACUGGUCAAAAAAAACCCCACAACUGACAAAAGAAAGAGACUUCAAAAAGAUGAAGGGAGGUUUUAUCUUUGCUGCUUUUAAUUUUUAAAGCAGAAGUCCUGGUUUUGUCUGCCUAGCAUUAAGCACCAGCUUCAAAUCAGCAUGGGACUUCUCAGAGAACCAGCCACCAAUUAUUUUUGUUUUAAAUCCCAAGCAAAACAGGCUAUUUUUCCCAAUUCCUCUCAUGAAUUAAUUAACACUUUGCUUGAGACUUUCAAGAUCAUUUCAUCUGCAGAAUAUGCCAGACCCUGAGAAUUCUAACCCCAAUUGCUUGAGCAGCAGCAAAGCAGUAAGAAACCAGACACAGGAUCUCAGGAAAGGAAGCACUGGGAAACAUUUCCACCAGGAAUGUUCUCAGUCCCAUCUCUAACUACUGAAUAAAUGCAAAUCACCAGCGUGGUCACCAAGGGGCAGCACGGGGUGCAUCAGUGCCUGUCCCCCUGCUGGGCUGCAGGGAACCACGGUGACCUGUCUGUUGUGCCCAUGCCCUGGCACAGCUGGCACCACACGGACAGGGCAGCCUGGAGCCCUCCUGGCUGCUGCUCUGCUCUGGGCACAGCCAGACUACUGCAGGCAAACCUUCCCACAGAAACAGACAAGCCCACGGAAACACCGUGAACCAGCAAUGCUUUAGAAAGCUCAGGAAAGAUGGUCAAACAAAAAAGCAAAAACCUGGCAGAAUUUUAGACAUUAAAUACCAUUAGGAGCCAUUUCUCCCAUCAGAUGCUGUACACAACGUUAAUGUGAAUAUUAUAAUGCUGACAAAUUUUUCUUGAAUGAAUUAUGAAGCCAAUAAUUUACAA
Molecule: long non-coding RNA, 2033 nt
Organism: Vidua chalybeata
Lineage: Eukaryota; Metazoa; Chordata; Aves; Passeriformes; Viduidae
Exons: 5
Source: RefSeq, a predicted model, not a curated record